GACGAACGCUGGCGGCGUGCUUAACACAUGCAAGUCGAACGAUGAACCCGGAGCUUGCUCUGGGGGAUUAGUGGCGAACGGGUGAGUAACACGUGAGUAACCUGCCCUGGACUCUGGGAUAAGCGUUGGAAACGACGUCUAAUACCGGAUAGGACCUUGGAUCGCAUGAUCUGGGGUGGAAAGUUUUUUCGGUCUGGGAUGGACUCGCGGCCUAUCAGCUUGUUGGUGAGGUAAUGGCUCACCAAGGCGUCGACGGGUAGCCGGCCUGAGAGGGUGACCGGCCACACUGGGACUGAGACACGGCCGAGACUCCUACGGGAGGCAGCAGUGGGGAAUAUUGCACAAUGGGCGAAAGCCUGAGGCAGCAACGCCGCGUGCGGGAUGACGGCCUUCGUGUUGUAAACCGCAUUUAGUAGGGAAGAAGGGCUUCGGCUUGACGGUACCUGCAGAAAAAGGACCGGCUAACUACGUG
This 472-nucleotide ribosomal RNA is filed under the name uncultured bacterium. Its description in RNAcentral is "partial 16S ribosomal RNA". It matches the Rfam family "Bacterial small subunit ribosomal RNA", at positions 28 to 507 of the family's 1533-position model. The record is from RNAcentral.